Molecule: ribosomal RNA, 414 nt
Filed under: uncultured beta proteobacterium
Lineage: Bacteria; Pseudomonadati; Pseudomonadota; Betaproteobacteria
Also listed under: 1 other name
Description: bacterial SSU rRNA
Rfam family: Bacterial small subunit ribosomal RNA
Source: RNAcentral
AACGCGAAGAACCUUACCAAGGCUUGACAUCCCAGGAAUCCGCUAGAAAUAGUGGAGUGCCUUCGGGAAUCUGGUGACAGGUGCUGCAUGGCCGUCGUCAGCUCGUGUCGUGAGAUGUUGGGUUAAGUCCCGCAACGAGCGCAACCCUUGUCGUAUGUUGUAUUUUUCAUACGAGACUGCCCGGGCCAACCGGGAGGAAGGUGAGGAUGACGUCAGGUCAGCAUGGCCCUUACGCCUUGGGCUACACACGUCAUACAAUGGCCGGUACAACGCGUUGCCAACCCGCGAGGGGGAGCUAAUCGCACCAAAACCGGUCCCAGUUCGGAUUGGAGGCUGCAACUCGCCUCCAUGAAGUUGGAUUUGCUAGUAACCGUGGGUCAGCAUACCGCGGUGAAUACGUUCCCGGGCCUUGUA